RNAcentral lists this ribosomal RNA (2999 nucleotides) under Haemophilus influenzae. RNAcentral describes it as "23S ribosomal RNA". It matches the Rfam family "Bacterial large subunit ribosomal RNA". Lineage: Bacteria; Pseudomonadati; Pseudomonadota; Gammaproteobacteria; Pasteurellales; Pasteurellaceae. The record is from RNAcentral.
UUAAGUGACUAAGCGUACAAGGUGGAUGCCUUGGCAAUCAGAGGCGAAGAAGGACGUGCUAAUCUGCGAAAAGCUUGGAUGAGUCGAUAAGAGGCGUUUAAUCCAAGAUAUCCGAAUGGGGAAACCCAGUAGAUGAAGAAUCUACUAUCAACAAGUGAAUUCAUAGCUUGUUGAGGCAAACCGGGAGAACUGAAACAUCUAAGUACCCCGAGGAAAAGAAAUCAACCGAGAUUUCGUCAGUAGCGGCGAGCGAAAGCGAAAGAGCCAGUAAGUGAUAGCAAUAUAGUGAGGAGAAUGUGUUGGGAAACACAAUCAAAGAGGGUGAUAAUCCCGUAUCUAAAAACCAUAUUGUGGUACUAAGCUAACGAGAAGUAGGGCGGGACACGUGAUAUCCUGUUUGAAGAAGGGGGGACCAUCCUCCAAGGCUAAAUACUCCUGAUUGACCGAUAGUGAACCAGUACUGUGAAGGAAAGGCGAAAAGAACCCCGGUGAGGGGAGUGAAAUAGAACCUGAAACCUUGUACGUACAAGCAGUGGGAGCCCCAUCACUUAAUCCGAUUGGAAGGUGAUGAAAAGCAACCGCACUUAAACAAUGGUAAGAGGAGCGAAGCGAGUCAAACCACCCAAAAGAAGCAGUGGGAUUAAGUGAUGGGGUGACUGCGUACCUUUUGUAUAAUGGGUCAGCGACUUAUAUUUUGUAGCGAGGUUAACCGAAUAGGGGAGCCGAAGGGAAACCGAGUCUUAACUGGGCGAAUAGUUGCAAGGUAUAGACCCGAAACCCGGUGAUCUAGCCAUGGGCAGGUUGAAGGUUGGGUAACACUAACUGGAGGACCGAACCGACUAAUGUUGAAAAAUUAGCGGAUGACUUGUGGCUGGGGGUGAAAGGCCAAUCAAACCGGGAGAUAGCUGGUUCUCCCCGAAAUCUAUUUAGGUAGAGCCUUGAGGUGACACCUUUGGGGGUAGAGCACUGUUUCGGCUAGGGGGCCAUCCCGGCUUACCAACCCGAUGCAAACUACGAAUACCAAAGAGUGAUACUCAGGAGACACACGGCGGGUGCUAACGUCCGUCGUGGAGAGGGAAACAACCCAGACCGCCAGCUAAGGUCCCCAAGUCUAUAUUAAGUGGGAAACGAAGUGGGAAGGCUUAGACAGCUAGGAUGUUGGCUUAGAAGCAGCCAUCAUUUAAAGAAAGCGUAAUAGCUCACUAGUCGAGUCGGCCUGCGCGGAAGAUGUAACGGGGCUGAAAUAUAGCACCGAAGCUGCGGCAUCAGAAUUUAUUCUGUUGGGUAGGGGAGCGUUGUGUAAGCGGAAGAAGGUUCAUCGAGAGGUGGGCUGGACGUAUCACAAGUGCGAAUGCUGACAUAAGUAACGAUAAAACGGGUGAAAAACCCGUUCGCCGGAAGACCAAGGGUUCCUGUCCAACGUUAAUCGGGGCAGGGUGAGUCGGCUCCUAAGGCGAGGCUGAAAAGCGUAGUCGAUGGGAAACAGGUUAAUAUUCCUGUACUUGGUAAAGCUGCGAUGUGGGGACGGAGUAGGUUAGGUUAUCGCACUGUUGGAUAUGUGCGUUUAAGUUGGUAGGUGGGAAGUUUAGGCAAAUCCGGACUUCCUUAACACAGAGAGAUGAUGACGAGGCUCUACGGAGCUGAAGUAACUGAUACCACACUUCCAGGAAAAGCCACUAAGCGAAAGGCUUUACUAAACCGUACUGAAAACCGACACAGGUGGUCAGGUAGAGAAUACUCAGGCGCUUGAGAGAACUCGGGUGAAGGAACUAGGCAAAAUAGCACCGUAACUUCGGGAGAAGGUGCGCCGGCGUAGAUUGUAAGGGCUAGCCCCUGAAGGUUGAACCGGUCGAAGUGACCCGCUGGCUGCAACUGUUUAUUAAAAACACAGCACUCUGCAAACACGAAAGUGGACGUAUAGGGUGUGAUGCCUGCCCGGUGCUGGAAGGUUAAUUGAUGGUGUCAUCGAAAGAGAAGCACCUGAUCGAAGCCCCAGUAAACGGCGGCCGUAACUAUAACGGUCCUAAGGUAGCGAAAUUCCUUGUCGGGUAAGUUCCGACCUGCACGAAUGGCAUAAUGAUGGCCAGGCUGUCUCCACCCGAGACUCAGUGAAAUUGAAAUCGCCGUGAAGAUGCGGUGUACCCGCGGCUAGACGGAAAGACCCCGUGAACCUUUACUAUAGCUUGACACUGAACAUUGAAUUUUGAUGUGUAGGAUAGGUGGGAGACUUAGAAGUAGGAACGCCAGUUUCUAUGGAGUCAUCCUUGAAAUACCACCCUUUAACGUUUGAUGUUCUAACGAAGACUACGGAACGUGGUCUCGGACAGUGUCUGGUGGGUAGUUUGACUGGGGCGGUCUCCUCCCAAAGCGUAACGGAGGAGCACGAAGGUUUGCUAAUCACGGUCGGACAUCGUGAGGUUAGUGCAAUGGUAUAAGCAAGCUUAACUGCGAGACAGACAAGUCGAGCAGGUACGAAAGUAGGUCAUAGUGAUCCGGUGGUUCUGAAUGGAAGGGCCAUCGCUCAACGGAUAAAAGGUACUCCGGGGAUAACAGGCUGAUACCGCCCAAGAGUUCAUAUCGACGGCGGUGUUUGGCACCUCGAUGUCGGCUCAUCACAUCCUGGGGCUGAAGUAGGUCCCAAGGGUAUGGCUGUUCGCCAUUUAAAGUGGUACGCGAGCUGGGUUUAGAACGUCGUGAGACAGUUCGGUCCCUAUCUGCCGUGGGCGUUGGAUGAUUGAUUGGGGCUGCUCCUAGUACGAGAGGACCGGAGUGGACGCAUCACUGGUGUUCCGGUUGUGUCGCCAGACGCAUUGCCGGGUAGCUAAAUGCGGAAGAGAUAAGUGCUGAAAGCAUCUAAGCACGAAACUUGCCAAGAGAUGAGUCAUCCCUGACUUUAAGUCAGUAAGGGUUGUUGUAGACUACGACGUAGAUAGGUUGGGUGUGUAAGUGAUGUGAGUCAUUGAGCUAACCAAUACUAAUUGCCCGAGAGGCUUAACUAU